AGAGAGAGACAUGCGCGCAUAUCAAUAAGCGGAGGAAAAGAAACUAACUAGGAUUCCCUCAGUAACGGCGAGUGAAGCGGGAAGAGCUCAAAUUUGAAAUCUUCAAGGUUCUACCUUGACGAAUUGUAGUUUAAAGAAGUGUUUUCUGUUGAGUUUUGGUAAAAGUUCUUUGGAAUAGGACAUCAUAGAGGGUGAGAAUCCCGUAUUUGACCUUUACUUUCAACUUUGUGAUACACUCUCAAAGAGUCGGAUUGUUUGGGAAUGCAGUCCAAAAUGGGUGGUAAAUUUCAUCUAAAGCUAAAUACUGGCGAGAGACCGAUAGCGAACAAGUACCGUGAGGGAAAGAUGAAAAGAACUUUGAAAAGAGAGUUAAACAGUACGUGAAAUUGUCAAAAGGGAAGCGUUUGACACCAGUGUUGUUUUUUCUCGAAAAUCAAUUAAAAAAGGCAGGAUUUUGUGUUGUAUUGACUUUAUCAGCUUUCUGCACUCUUUUCUUGUCUUUUUUUAAUGCACUUUUCGUUUAACAAGUCAACAUCAAUUUCUUUUGUUGUAAAAGGGGUCAUUGGAAGGUGGCUUUCUUUUCGGAGAAAGUGUUUAUAGCCUUUGGCCUCUGCAAUCGGAGAGAUUGAGGUCUGCAGCGUAGAUCCUUCGGGGUUAGAUACAUUUGUGCUAAGUUAUAGCCUUUCAUAGACAACUUGUUGACUAUGAUCAGUCAUGUAGCUUACUCGCUUAUGCUAUUUUACCUACGCUUAGGAUGUUGAUGUGAUACUGCGAGCA
Molecule: ribosomal RNA, 777 nt
Filed under: uncultured Neocallimastigales
Lineage: Eukaryota; Fungi; Neocallimastigomycota; Neocallimastigomycetes; Neocallimastigales
Description: partial large subunit ribosomal RNA
Rfam family: Eukaryotic large subunit ribosomal RNA
Source: RNAcentral